GUGACCUCAAAUCAGGUAGGACUACCCGCUGAACUUAAGCAUAUCAAUAAGCGGAGGAAAAGAAACUAACAAGGAUUCCCCUAGUAACUGCGAGUGAAGCGGGAAAAGCUCAAAUUUAAAAUCUGUCAGUCUUUGGCUGUCCGAGUUGUAAUCUAGAGAAGUGUUGUCGGCGCUGGACCGUGUACAAGUCUCCUGGAAUGGAGCGUCAUAGAGGGUGAGAAUCCCGUCUUUGACACGGACUGCCAGGGCUUUGUGAUGCGCUCUCGAAGAGUCGAGUUGUUUGGGAAUGCAGCUCAAAAUGGGUGGUAAAUUCCAUCUAAAGCUAAAUAUUGGCGAGAGACCGAUAGCGAACAAGUACCGUGAGGGAAAGAUGAAAAGAACUUUGGAAAGAGAGUUAAACAGUACGUGAAAUUGCUGAAAGGGAAACGCUUGAAGUCAGUCAUGUUGUCCAGGGAUCAACCUUGCUUUUGCUUGGUGUACUUUCUGGUUGACGGGUCAGCAUCAAUUUUGACCAUUGGAAAAAGAUUGAGGGAAUGUGGCAUCUUUGGAUGUGUUAUAGCCCUUGGUUGCAUACAAUGGUUGAGAUUGAGGAACUCAGCAUGCCGCAAGGCCGGGUUUUUUAAAACCACGUGCGUGC
RNAcentral lists this ribosomal RNA (637 nucleotides) under Cortinarius cf. vanduzerensis F15914. Its description in RNAcentral is "eukaryotic LSU rRNA". It matches the Rfam family "Eukaryotic large subunit ribosomal RNA", at positions 1 to 626 of the family's 3401-position model. Lineage: Eukaryota; Fungi; Basidiomycota; Agaricomycetes; Agaricales; Cortinariaceae. The record is from RNAcentral.